Molecule: long non-coding RNA, 780 nt
Organism: Olea europaea var. sylvestris
Lineage: Eukaryota; Viridiplantae; Streptophyta; Magnoliopsida; Lamiales; Oleaceae
Exons: 3
Source: RefSeq, a predicted model, not a curated record
UUUGAAACCCCGAACUUUAGUGGGCGAGAGACUUGCUACAGUGUGUCCACUACCAAUUCUACUAGUGGGCGUGCUAGGACACCCAAGCAAGCAUGAAGAAUUGACCCAGUACUUGAGGAACCUUUUCAUUCAAAGUUUUGGAUUGGAAGGUCAGUCGGGAAAUAAUGAGAUUGUCAAUUCUGUUUGCUUUAUUUGGUUGGUAAAGUGGGAUUAAUUUUCAAAUCGUUGAGAUUGUGCUUCGACUUCAGCUAUUUGUGUAUUGAGUUUUAGCCUUUCCACUAUGCAGCAUCUUUGGAGAACGUCAUAGUAUGAUAUUUAACAUCACCUGGGAAUUUGUUAAAAGUUCUGACAUGAAUAUGAAAAUAGUGCAGCCCAUUUUUUGAAAGUCAUUGUUGUGUAUUGCCUGCUCUUGUAACUCUUGGUUCUGACCAAAACCUGAAUGUGAAAUAUGCCAACAUUGAUGCUUUUAAAGUGGUAGCUCAGCAUUUUAAAAGUGACAUGAUCGUUGAUAAUAUAUGGGUUCAAAUGGAUGCUUUUCUUGAAGAUGGAUCAGUUGAAGCUACCAUUGCUGUGGUUCGUGCACUGGCGUUUGCCGUACCACAUACAACAAAUAGGCUUCGAGAAUAUAUUAUUGAAACAUUUUUUUGGUGGUUUUAAUUUGUUUCCAUUUGGGUUUUUAUUUAACAAUUAGGAAUACACGAACAAAGCCCACUAGUGAAAUAUCUGUUUCUUUAGCUGUUCGUACAUCUCUUGUCCAAGUUUUGAUUGAUGUUUCUUUAA